Molecule: long non-coding RNA, 405 nt
Organism: Athene cunicularia (burrowing owl)
Lineage: Eukaryota; Metazoa; Chordata; Aves; Strigiformes; Strigidae
Exons: 3
Source: RefSeq, a predicted model, not a curated record
AUGACUCUGCUCUUUCUUUGUAAGAAAAAGGUGGCUAGGGGAAGAAGAUGAUAUCUGGAUUUGUUUUCACACCAAGGCUGAGAAAUAUAUAAACCAAGCUAAGGAGGAGUGCCUUUAGCCCUACUAAAGUCUGGAUGCAAAUAUUCUUGCAGAAAUGGCCCAGAAAUUGUACUUUGCAGGACAUGGUCAUUGCCUCCAGUUGACUUCUGCUGCCCUGAGAAGAGGGAUGCAUGGCAAGCCUGACCCAUGGCAAGCAGACUUUUCCUGAGGUGCAUCCAAGCUUGUGGGUUGUAACUCUGCGUUCCAGGAAGAUCAGCUGCCUGGUCUAUGAAAAUGAGCUCUAUUUGAGAUACCUGAAGUGGAGAACAGUCAUUCUUUCAUUGAUUUUUAGAAAUAUGGGUCACC